GUGCAGCCGCCGCGGUAAUACGGAGGGUGCAAGCGUUGUCCGGAAUCAUUGGGUGUAAAGGGUGCGUAGGCGGGAGCCUAAGUCUGUGGUGAAAUCUUGCCGCUUAACGGUAAAAUUGCCAUGGAUACUGGGUUUCUUGAGUACAGAAGAGGUCGGUGGAAUUCGUAGUGUAGCGGUGAAAUGCAUAGAUAUUACGAAGGACACCAGUGGCGAAGGCGGCCGGCUGGACUGUAACUGACGCUGAGGCACGAAAGCGUGGGGAGCGAACAGGAUUAGAAACCCCUGUAGUCC
RNAcentral lists this ribosomal RNA (291 nucleotides) under uncultured bacterium. Its description in RNAcentral is "partial 16S ribosomal RNA". It matches the Rfam family "Bacterial small subunit ribosomal RNA", at positions 505 to 796 of the family's 1533-position model. The record is from RNAcentral.